Long non-coding RNA from Esox lucius (northern pike), 745 nucleotides. The record is from Ensembl. NCBI's taxonomy places the organism in Eukaryota, Metazoa, Chordata, Actinopteri, Esociformes, Esocidae.
AGAAAAGCAUGAAUGCAUUUGAAAAUUAUGCUGGUUAUGGUUUCAUCUGUUAAAUGUAAUGCACAACCAAGACCAUUUGUUUUUAUCACUUUACACAUUUAUUCUGGGGUCCAACGAGGAACUAAAAGCUUCUGCUUGAUGAUAAACAAAAGGAGAAGAAUGUAAUUUCAAAAAAACAUUUUCAUGCAUGGAUUUUCUCUUCAACCACCUUUGACCUUUUUCAAAAGGUGCCAAUGAGAGGACGGAGGCCAACUAAUUUAUAGCUGGGAAACCAUCUCACCUUUGAGAAUACAUUCCAAUUCUCAAGUCUAUUGUUGAAAACCAUGCCUUCUUUUAGAAUAUCUUUCUAUUUUAGAGUUAGUUCCACAAUAAUUCCACCACAUCCAGAUGACAGAGAAUAGUGCAGGUGUCCGAUAGGCCGUUCUGAGAGAUGGGGAGGGGCUACCUACACUAACCACACACCAAAAGAGGAGGGGGUUGGGGCUGUAAUUGUAGAGCACCAAUAGAAGACAGCUAUCAGACUGUAAGACUGCCAUCCCCUUAAUCUUCAUACAGUAUAAACAUAUUAAACAGCCCUGUCUCACAUACCUCUCUACAACACAGGAAACACCUCCCUCCAGAUAACAGACAUACCUCUCCACAACACAGGAAACACCUCCCUACAGAUAACAGACAUACCUCCCCACAACACAGGAAACACCUCCCUCCAGAUAACAGACAUAUCUCUCCAGAACACAGAAAACAC